This is a long non-coding RNA of Monopterus albus (swamp eel), 477 nucleotides long. RefSeq lists it as uncharacterized. The record is from RefSeq and is a predicted model, not a curated record. The transcript has 3 exons. NCBI's taxonomy places the organism in Eukaryota, Metazoa, Chordata, Actinopteri, Synbranchiformes, Synbranchidae.
CAUAUUCGCGCAGGUUGACAGCAAUUACAACCAGACGCUUCCAAUUACUGUGAUGAAACUGUGCUGGUAGGAUGUGCGUGUGCUACCAUGACAGUCUGCGCUUCCCCCCCGUUUCUACCACUGAUCUGUUAGUUGGCCUCCAUGACAGAACCCUGGACCUUGUUUAGUGUUCCUGGAUAGGUGUGACUCCAUUUUUACUAUGCGCGCUAGGACUGCGACCACCUGGUGUGCGCCACCCUUAAGCCCGCGUCCAAGGCCAACCCGGUCACCCUCUGUGAAGGUGUUGUGCAGUUUGUGCAGAUGUCCCUCCAAAGAUGACACAUCAAGCUCAGUGUCUCCAUAGAGGUAGUAUUCGAGCAGAGCCUGGUAGAUGAAUGAGUACUGCAUCUGAGGUUUGUCAGCAUGACAACAGUCGCUACUUUCUGCUCCCAUAUCAUCCUCCAGAAAUCUGCUACAGUGUCUUCUUUUGGGCCUGGG